Molecule: ribosomal RNA, 465 nt
Filed under: Vreelandella stevensii
Lineage: Bacteria; Pseudomonadati; Pseudomonadota; Gammaproteobacteria; Oceanospirillales; Halomonadaceae
Description: partial 16S ribosomal RNA
Rfam family: Bacterial small subunit ribosomal RNA
Source: RNAcentral
CCUACGGGGGGCUGCAGUGGGGAAUAUUGGACAAUGGGGGGAACCCUGAUCCAGCCAUGCCGCGUGUGUGAAGAAGGCCCUCGGGUUGUAAAGCACUUUCAGUGAGGAAGAACGCCUGGUGGUUAAUACCCAUCAGGAAAGACAUCACUCACAGAAGAAGCACCGGCUAACUCCGUGCCAGCAGCCGCGGUAAUACGGAGGGUGCGAGCGUUAAUCGGAAUUACUGGGCGUAAAGCGCGCGUAGGUGGCUUGAUAAGCCGGUUGUGAAAGCCCCGGGCUCAACCUGGGAACGGCAUCCGGAACUGUCAAGCUAGAGUGCAGGAGAGGAAGGUAGAAUUCCCGGUGUAGCGGUGAAGUGCGUAGAGAUCGGGAGGAAUACCAGUGGCGAAGGCGGCCUUCUGGACUGACACUGACACUGAGGUGCGAAAGCGUGGGUAGCAAACAGGAUUAGAUACCCUGGUAGUC